RNAcentral lists this ribosomal RNA (305 nucleotides) under uncultured bacterium. RNAcentral's name for it is "bacterial SSU rRNA". It matches the Rfam family "Bacterial small subunit ribosomal RNA", at positions 333 to 655 of the family's 1533-position model. The record is from RNAcentral.
GCAUACCUACGGGACGCAGCAGUGGGGGAUAUUGCUCAAUGGGGGGAACCCUGAUGCAGCGACGCCGCGUGGGUGGAGAAGCGCCUCGGCGCGUAAAGCCCUGUCAGCAGGGAAGAAAAUGACGGUACCUGAAGAAGAAGCCCCGGCUAACUACGUGCCAGCAGCCGCGGUAAUACGUAGGGGGCAAGCGUUAUCCGGAUUUACUGGGUGUAAAGGGGGCGCAGACGGCGAUGCAAGCCAGGAGUGAAAGCCCGGGGCCCAACCCCGGGACUGCUCUUGGCACUGCGGGGCUGGAGUGCAGGAGG